CCUACGGGAGGCAGCAGUCGAGAAUCAUUCACAAUGGGGGAAACCCUGAUGGUGCGACGCCGCGUGGGGGAAUGAAGGUCUUCGGAUUGUAAACCCCUGUCAUGUGGGAGCAAAUUAAAAAGAUAGUACCACAAGAGGAAGAGACGGGCAACUCUGUGCCAGCAGCCGGGGUAAUGCAGAGGUCUCAAGCGUUGUUCGGAAUCACUGGGCGUAAAGGGUGCGUAGGCUGUUUCGUAAGUCGUGUGUGAAAGGCGCAGGCCCAACCCGCGGAAGGCCCAUGAUACUGGGAGACUAGAGUAAUGGAGGGGGAACCGGAAUUCUCGGUGUAGCAGUGAAAUGCGUAGAUAUCGAGAGGAACACUCGUGGCGAAGGCGGGUUCCUGGACAUUAACUGACGCUGAGGCACGAAGGCCAGGGGAGCGAAAGGGAUUAGAUACCCGAGUAGUC
Molecule: ribosomal RNA, 446 nt
Filed under: uncultured bacterium
Lineage: Bacteria
Description: partial 16S ribosomal RNA
Rfam family: Bacterial small subunit ribosomal RNA
Source: RNAcentral